GUCCACGCCCUAAACGAUGCCUGUUUGCUGUUUCGAGUAUCGACCCUCGGAGCGGCGGAGCUAACGCGUUAAACAGGCCGCCUGGGAAGUACGAGCGCAAGCUUAAAACUCAAAGGAAUAGACGGGGACUCGCACAAGCGGUGGAACAUGAGGUUUAAUUCGAUAGUAAGCGAAGAACCUUACCAGGGCUUGAAAUACUUUUGGAAAGCUGCCGGAAACGGUGGCCCUCUCUCAAGGACCGAAAGUACAGGUGCUGCAUGGUUGUCGU
Molecule: ribosomal RNA, 268 nt
Filed under: uncultured bacterium
Lineage: Bacteria
Description: partial 16S ribosomal RNA
Rfam family: Bacterial small subunit ribosomal RNA
Source: RNAcentral